AUUAUUUCGGUAGGUGAGGUUACCACAGGGAUUGGGCUUUUUAUCCCGAAGAUUGCUGCCGCGGGACCGUGGAGACACGGUUAGAUGGUCAGCAGGCCGCGUCGUGAAGGCGCAGCCUAAUGCAAUUGAUAUGCCCUGUGAUGCUAAAGCUUGAACGAUG
This 160-nucleotide small RNA is filed under the name uncultured Mediterraneibacter sp. RNAcentral's name for it is "M-box riboswitch (ykoK leader)". It matches the Rfam family "M-box riboswitch aptamer (ykoK leader)". Rfam says of the family: M-box riboswitch, also know as ykoK leader is described as a metaloregulatory RNA that sense divalent metals and function as a genetic control element of genes related to divalent metal transport in bacteria. The record is from RNAcentral. Lineage: Bacteria; Bacillati; Bacillota; Clostridia; Lachnospirales; Lachnospiraceae.